Molecule: long non-coding RNA, 5389 nt
Organism: Orcinus orca (killer whale)
Lineage: Eukaryota; Metazoa; Chordata; Mammalia; Artiodactyla; Delphinidae
Exons: 8
Source: RefSeq, a predicted model, not a curated record
CCUUGGGCAGCGGCAGGGGCAGCUUCUCCUGAGGCGGGGGCUUGGGCCGGCCACGCUGCCUGGGGACUGGGGGUCGGGGGAGAAACAUUGCGGCUGCAACGCAGGGGUGCUAGGACCCGGGGAGCGGCCCAUGAUCGGGUUCCGGGUCCGCACCCGGCUCCGCGUAGGGUUUACUCCGCGCCAGGCCCUGCCCCCUGCCCGGCCCCCUUCCCGCCCACUGCCCUGGCCCGUCCUGCCCCCUGACCAGCUCCGCCCCGCCCGCCCGCCCUCCGCCUGGUCCCGGCGGCGGUCAGAGCGCGGCCGGCCGAGCCGGGGCACCGCGGCGGAGGCGCAGCAUCCCGCAGCACAGACGGUCCGGCCCGCCUAGCAUGGCGCCGAGGUGGCCCUGGCUGCGACCGCGGCGGCGGCGCCUCCUGGACUUGCUCGCCCCCCUGGUCCUGCUGCUUGGGGUCGGCGCGGCGUCCGCAGAGCCAGAAUCUGCUGGCACAGGCUGUUCUUAGCACGAGAGGCGCCCUUCUGCUUUGGGGAGACUUGAGCCGAUGUGAAAGCGGUGCCUGGAGGGCACGUCCCAGCAGCGGUUGAACCGCAUCUUGGUGCCCACCGUGCGAAAAAGUAAGCUUCUCUCGUCCUGGGAACGGGGAGGGCCCGGGGAAGAGCACCGACCCAGCUGCUGGGAGCUGGAGGCCGAAUGCAUCUCUGCUGGGGCCCAAGUCCAGAGCCCCCACGGCCUGUAGGGCGAAGGGACACCUUUCUUCCCCGUUUCCAUUUAGGCAACCAGGGGACGUCAUCUUGGAAGGGAAACCGUGAUCUGUGUGGAUGAGGCUGCUUUGACAGUGUGACGCGGGAAGAUUCUCCCCCUCCCCUUGCAGUCGGGAGGGCAGGGCCGUGGGAGGAGGGGGUGAUGUUCCUAAUGCAGGGUGGGCCUGAGCCCCUGAGGUGGGCCUGCCUGCCCCUGAGCUCCCCUGGACCAGCCCGUUGGCCCACGGAGCCAGGGUCUCCUCCAAGCUGGGGUUUCUGCAUCUGGGGCCGGGGGUCGGGGUUCGCGUUAGAGGAGAGCUUGGGAAGGCCUUCCUCUCGCCCCGGCUGGUCCGGGGCUGGGAGGCGGUGGGUGGUGAACCCAGCCACCUGGCCCCUUGGUCCAUUAACCUCCUCUUUCCUGAGUCGUUUUUGAGCCCCUCUGUUUGCGCCCUGCCUGCCCCAAACAGGAGGGUGCACAGCAGUGCCCCUGGGUGACCGUUAUCUCCCCAGCAGGCCGAGAGCAUCCACUCUGGGGUCUGGGCUUAUCUGGGGAGGCCCCAUGGCAGUGCUGGGGCUGAGUGCGGAGGGGGCUGUGUGUGGGACCUUCGGGAGGUGGUGGACAUCCCUCCGGAUGGAUAUUAGUUCCGUGCAACUUUUCAGUCCAAACCGCCAGGGGUGGGCACUGUCACUUUGAAAAUCCUGCUAAUCUGAUAGAUGGAGAAAUACCACCCUGUGCUCUAUUCUGUGAGUUUCCGUCCAGCGGGGGCGCAGGUUCUGGAGUGUUCCUUGGCCUUCGCGUCUCUCCUUUUGCUCUGACAUCCAUCCUCCGUCUGUGUGCUGUCGUCCUCCUUGUCAUGCCUGCCUGUGGUGUCACCUCCUGGGGGCACAUUUGGCAUAUUUUCUAGUGUGUGGGCAGGCUUUAAUUGGGAACGUGAAAUUUCGAAAGCAGGGUGUUGUUUUUUUCCCUUAUUUUUAUGGCCUUUUCCUGUAGAGGUAGGACACGCGUGACGAUCACGGCUCAGGGACAGCGGCCUGGGCUUAUCUGCGUUGCAGGGGUGAUGCGGGGGUCGUGAGAAUUCAGAGAGGGAAACUGCGCGCGCCAGCAGGCAGAGUGCUGGGGGGCCACGUGCUGCAUGUGGCUUUGGUGGGCGUGGAGUUAGAGCUAGUGCUUGCAGAAAACAAGUAUGGAGUCACUGAAUCGUGGUCUAUUGCCGCUGGCUGGCAGCCUGGCUGGCCACUUUGUGUUUGUGGAUGGGACGCCAUCUGCCAUGUGGGUUGAGAGCCCAGGCUCCAGGUUUUAGCUCCAGCUUUGCUUCUGAGCGCUGUGUGACCUUUGGCAGAUCCCUCACCGUCUCUGUGCCUCUGGUCUGUAAAGUGGGGAGGGCAGUGGGGCUCUGUGGGACUGAAUAGGGCAUUCCUGCAGGGAGCUUCCUGGGAUGUGUCCUGACGGCUCCUCCUUGGGCUCUGGGGACACCGUCGGGGAUGGCCUAAGCCACCCGUCAGGGCGGGGCCUGGAAGGAGGGCCUGGUGAGCACCAAGAGCAGGAAGUGGGUCCUCGUGACCGGAACAGUUUUUGUGCUUCUUACUUGGCCGUGGGCUGCGCCUGCUAAGACCAUCGUGUGUUUUAGACAAAGCGGCCCACUCACGCCCGCCGCUCCGAAGUCCUGCAAGUGUUCUGGGCCUGGGCGCCCGCGUGGUCUCGCCCACCCACGUGUCCCGUGGGGGUGAUCCCGGGAUCGCAGACCUGCCUCUGCCUGCUGGAUCUUGUCCCGAGGCUGCUGUAGUUCGAAAAACGCUCCCACUGAGAUUCCGCGGAGCCUCUUGCUCUGUGCAGCCAGGCCGGUUCCCGGGCUUCCCGCAUUGAGGCCCCGUCUGUGCUGGGAAUCUGAGCUCAGCCUGAUGGGGCGUCUUUCGUCCGGGCAGUGCUUGCUCAGAGGACAACAGACGGGGCGGCGUCCUUUCUGUCCUCUGUAACCCCAGCCUUCCAACCAGAACGAAGGGAAGCCACCCUUGAUCCCGUGCACGCCCACCUUCGGGGUCUCCCCACCUGGGGUAGACCUGCUCCCUCGCCAGUGGCUCUACCCCAGGCCGCCAGGCACCCCCACAGGCCCAGCUCAGACCCUCCUUCCCCUCCACACACGGCCGAGGGCUUUGAAAGGCAGGCCCCCCGGGAGAGGGCGCAGCCAGCCAUGGGGACAGGCUUUUUCUACCAUAAAUGAUCAUUUCAACUAGACAGCUUUCCUUCUGCCGCCCUCGGCGUGUCCACACCUGGCCCUGAGCCACCUCUGCUCCUGUCCUCUUGGCCCCCGGAGGAGAGCACGGCCCUUUCUGAGCCCAGAUGCCCCUGCAGGGCCCGGCCCUCCUGCCCCACUUCAAGCUUCCGGCUGUCACUUUCUGGCUCGCUUCUCCUCACUUCCCCAAGGCUGACCCAGGGCUGCGGGCUUGCCAUGCUUCCGCACCGGCGGGUAGCGUUGGCAGCGGCCUCUGCGUGUCUUGGGUCCUCCCAUCUUGGCCUUGUCCCCCGUGGCACCGGGGGACCCAUCUUGUUCCAGGUCACUGGUGUCCUUGGGGCAGCCAGGACCUUCCUGUUUUCUGGCUAACGUGGGCCUCCAUCCCCAGGGGACUCGGGCCCGGCUGGCGCUGACUCGGAAUCUGCGAUGCUCUGCUGUUCCUUCUUUCAUGACCUUAUAUUGUGGCAAUAGUCAAGAAUGCCGUGGAGCCUCAGAAGCCAGAAGGAAAAAGUACCCGUUCCAGCGCAGCCUUUACUGUCAGUGUGGGGGAAAUGGGACACCUUAAACGGACCCGGGCUGCCCUCCCUGCUGACUCCACUCCCGGCCUGUGUGGACGGCCCCUCUGGGUGCGGAAGCCUCAGGGCCCCCCGGAAAGCCAGCCGCAAGCGGGUCUGCUUCCCAGAUGGGAACACAUCCCCACCCCACCGCCCACUCCUGGGCGGCGCGCUGGCCUCCCAAGCGCCUGACUGCCCCCCAUUUGAGACCCUAGACAACCCCACCUCCCAGCGUUGAAAUGUUUUCUUCCCGUGGCAUAUGGUCUGCUGAACGUCAGCCCCCAAGGCCUCGCCGUCCUGAUCCACAGGGCCGUGAACGCUGCUUUACGCGGUAAAGAGGGCUUCGGGUGGGAUGAGGCUCUUGAGCUGUGGAGAUAACCCUGGAUUAUCCGGGUGGGUCUACAUGUAAUCCUACGUCCUAAGAAGGGAUGAGGGAGGCCAGAGGGUCAGGUCAGAACAAGGAGACGUGGCGAUGGAAGCAAAGGUUGAGGGAGAGAUUGGAAUACAGGAAGGGGCUACGAGCCUAGGAACACAGGCGGCUUCUAGAUGCUGGAACCGGGGGACUGGGUCCUCCCUGGGGCCCCCGGAAAGGAGCACAGUCGUGCCGACACCUGGGAUUUAGGCCUCUGGCCUCCAGAACUGUGGAGCGCAGCUCGUGUGGUUUCCAGCCCCUGACUUUGGGGUCAUUUGCUCCAGCAGCUGCAGGACACUGGCCAGUGUGUGGCUAGGUCAGUGGCAGGGGUGGAGUCGUGGUGACGCAAAUCCUCUCAUUGGAAAAGUGCUGCUUCUCCACAGUGUGAAACCUCUGAUACGUUCGAAGGCCUUGGGACACCCACGCCCUGUACAGGGCCCCUGAGUGCCCUUCCUGACCCCCAAGUCCCGAGGGUCGACUCCCCGUCCUGCGCACCCAGCACCCUGGGCUGGGGACUCUCUGUGGAGAGGUUAGAGGGGCCUCCAUCCUAGGAACCUCUUAGAGCUCAGCGGGACCCAUUCUCAGGCCCUAGAAUGACCUCCGCGUGUCCCCGGGUGGCGCCUUGAACGGGGGAGGGAGGCGGGCGGACAGAGGGCAGGUGAGCGGGGCCGGGGCAGACGUCGGGACGCUCGACAGUGCCUGGACGGGCCUGUGGGCAAGGGGACUGUGUGUGUGGGGUCUGUCCUGGGUCUGUCUCCGGCAGGGCCCUCGCAGGCCAGGGGCGGGUGUUAUCGUCCACAAGGCUGGACAGCAGCCCGCUCUGUUCUGUUUUUGGAGAAUGAGGCAAAUGGCACAGGAUCACAUUCCCAGCGAGCGCCAGUUCUGCGCAGUGUCCUGGCGUGUCGCAGAAAGGGUUUAUAAAGUAAAGCGGACCAGUUGCCGAGCAGGUGGAUGGUACUCAGCACCAGUGCCUGUCAGCCUCCAGCCGUCUUGGGUACUGGCUGGACCUUCAGUUAUCCGGGUGCUGGGUGGACCUUCAGUUAUCCGGGUGCUGGGUGGACCUUCAGUUAUCUGAGGUGGACCUUCAGUUAUCCGGUGCCGGGUGGACCUUCAGUUAUCCGAGGUGGACCUUCAGUUAUCCGAGGUGGACCUUCAGUUAUCCGGUGCCGGGUGGACCUUCAGUUAUCCGAGGUGGACCUUCAGUUAUCUGAGGUGGACCUUCAGUUAUCUGAGGUGGACCUUCAGUUAUCCGGUGCUGGGUGGACCUUCAGUUAUCCGAGGUGGACCUUCAGUUAUCUGAGGUGGACCUUCAGUUAUCCGGUGCCGGGUGGACCUUCAGUUAUCCGAGGUGGACCUUCAGUUAUCUGAGGUGGACCUUCAGUUAUCUGAGGUGGACCUUCAGUUAUCCGGUGCCGGGUGGACCUUCAGUUAUCCGAGGUGGACCUUCAGUUAUC